GCCAGUGUGGCAUAGUGAUUUGAUUACUGGACUACAAUUCUGGAGACCAGGGUUUGAUUCCCCGCUUGGCCA
Molecule: non-coding RNA, 72 nt
Organism: Phrynosoma platyrhinos (Desert horned lizard)
Lineage: Eukaryota; Metazoa; Chordata; Lepidosauria; Squamata; Phrynosomatidae
Source: the annotation of a GenBank genome assembly